Molecule: long non-coding RNA, 378 nt
Filed under: Capsicum annuum
Lineage: Eukaryota; Viridiplantae; Streptophyta; Magnoliopsida; Solanales; Solanaceae
Description: long non-coding RNA (CANN_LNC002539)
Source: RNAcentral
CCGCCUAAUUACCUCACCCUAGUACUUCUCCGGCCUACCCCUACCCCGCCUAAAACUAUCCAAUGCUAGCCUCUCACACCUACGGACUGGGGCAUCCAUGCCCCUCCUCUUCACGUGUCCGAACCAUCUCAAUCUGACUUUCCGCAUCUUGCACUCUACUGGAGUCACACUAAUCUUCUCCCGGAUAGUCUCAUUCCGCACUCUAUCCCCUCUAGUCAGCCCACACAUCUAGCGCAACAUCCGCAUUUCUGCCACCUUCAUUUUUUGGAUGUGGGAGUUCUUGACUGGCCAACACUCUGCUCCAUACAACAUGGCCGGACGGACUACCACCCUGUAGAAUUUGCCUUUAAGCUUGGGCGGCACCUUCUUAUCACACAA